UACGUAGGCAGCGAGCGUUGUUCGGAGUUACUGGGCGUAAAGGGCGUGUAGGCGGCUCUUUAAGUUUGGUGUGAAAUCUCCCGGCUCAACCGGGAGGGUGCGCCGAAUACUGAGGGACUAGAGUAUGGGAUGGGAAAGUGGAAUUCCUGGUGUAGCGGUGAAAUGCGUAGAUAUCAGGAGGAACACCUGUGGUGUAGACGGCUUUCUGGACCAUAACUGACGCUGAGGCACGAAAGCGUGGGUAGCAAACAGG
This 253-nucleotide ribosomal RNA is filed under the name uncultured bacterium. Its description in RNAcentral is "partial 16S ribosomal RNA". It matches the Rfam family "Bacterial small subunit ribosomal RNA", at positions 524 to 776 of the family's 1533-position model. The record is from RNAcentral.